CCUACGGGAGGCAGCAGUGGGGAAUAUUGGGCAAUGGGCGCAAGCCUGACCCAGCAACGCCGCGUGAAGGAAGAAGGCUUUCGGGUUGUAAACCUCUUUUGCCGGGGAGCAACGGGCGUCACGUGUGGCGCCACUGCAAGUACCCGGAGAAAAAGCAUCGGCUAACUCCGUGCCAGCAGCCGCGGUAAUACGGAGGAUGCGAGCGUUAUCCGGUUUUAUUGGGUUUAAAGGGUGCGUAGGCGGAUCGUUAAAUCAGUGGUCAAAUUGAGGGGCCAAACCCCUUCCCGCCAUUGAAACUGGCGUUCUUGAGUGGAAGAGAAGCAUGCGGAAUGCGUGGUGUAGCGGUGAAAUGCAUAGAUAUCACGCAGAACCCCGAUUGCGAAGGCAGCAUGCCGGCUUCCGACUGACGCUGAAGCACGAAAGCGUGGGGAUCGAACAGGAUUAGAUACCCGAGUAGUC
This 459-nucleotide ribosomal RNA is filed under the name uncultured bacterium. RNAcentral describes it as "partial 16S ribosomal RNA". It matches the Rfam family "Bacterial small subunit ribosomal RNA", at positions 338 to 795 of the family's 1533-position model. The record is from RNAcentral.